GUGUAUUUGGGAUUUGUUAGUGUUUUUUUUUUUUUUUUCAGACCCAGGAUUCAUUACAAGUGAUUAUGCAAGAAUAAGCCUCAAGGCUGUUAUGCACGUAGAAUGCUUCUGGCCUUUGCAGCUUCUCCCACCUCUGUAUUUCUUCAGAAAAAGGAGAAAAAGCCAGAUUAGAUGAUGAGGGUCAGCGGAGGACAUCAGCACACAGCUGAAAACAUCCCCAAGCCUACACUCUCCUUUACUACUCCAAUUCCAGCCAGAUAUGUGUGCAUUCCUGUUACAGAUCCUGUUAACCAGCUGCAGGCUGGGAGAUGAGGAGGUCGCACUCCUCGUGGCCGGGAGGAGGCCUGGCAGCGAGGGCUCUGCUUGCUGCCCCAACCCACAGCCUGGCAGGGCAGGAGGUGCUCCCAGUUUAUCCUCUGAGUUCCCUCAAAGCCAGCGCCAAGUCCUCAGGCCAGGCUGCGGGGGGCUGCUGGGACCAAAGGAGCCCGUGAAAGGAAGGUGUAGAGGAAUAAAUAAACCGAGGAGUUUCAGCCUGCAACAGGUGAGCACGCCAGCACCCUGAAGAGCCUUGCUGUCACUGGUGUGCUCCAGGGACUGCACUGCCACGGGCUGUCCUUAUAAAAGGAUUGUUGAAAGGAGUGACUGGAUUAGCAGCACACUUGGGCAUUCUUCUUGUUUAGUGCAGCCAGCCCCGUGCCAAUCUUGGAUCAAAAUGAAUCAGGAAUCUCAGGAGACUUUGUUAGCUCCUUUGUAUAAUUUCUUGUAUUUCAUGCAAAUCUCACACAUUCAUUGCUUCUGAGAGACUUUCUGCCUUUCUCUAAUUUUCUUUCAUAUGGAGAUCACAGAGUUAACCCGCUCACUCAAUGUCUGUGUUCUUCGCAGUAGCUAAUCUCACCACCUAGUCCAGUUUAACUAGCUUCUAAUUUAUUUCUCAGUACUGACUAGAUACCAUCUGCAUAUAUUUUUUUUGGCAGCAAACUGGGAUUUAUAUCACUACAAUGUGUUAUAUCCGUGGUGUGUUCCACUCCAUUAAGCACCUCAUCAAAUCCUUUAAGAAUAUUUUUUGUAGCCUGCUCAAUAGCUAGAUGAUGCACCCUUUUGUGGUUUGCUGUUCAACCCCAGCGAGCUAUAACUUUUUUUCCCCAAAACAUAAGGUAAUCUUAACUCUCAGAUGUGGAAACAUGCAAAAAAGUCCCCUCCAGUCUCACUUUGAAGUUAAUUCCCUGUGUAUUGCAAGGAAAGCUAUACCAUGCCCCCUCUGAAACUUG
Molecule: long non-coding RNA, 1268 nt
Filed under: Anser brachyrhynchus (Pink-footed goose)
Lineage: Eukaryota; Metazoa; Chordata; Aves; Anseriformes; Anatidae
Description: lncRNA (ENSABRG00000019962.1)
Source: RNAcentral